ACUCCUACGGGAGGCAGCAGUGAGGAAUAUUGGACAAUGGGCGCAAGCCUGAUCCAGCCAUGCCGCGUGCAGGAGACUGCCUAUGGGUUGUAAACUGCUUUUAUACGGGAAGAAACACUCCCUCGUGAGGGAGCUUGACGGUACCGUAAGAAUAAGGAUCGGCUAACUCCGUGCCAGCAGCCGUGGUAAUACGGAGGAUCCAAGCGUUAUCCGGAAUCAUUGGGUUUAAAAGGGUCCGUAGGUGG
This 245-nucleotide ribosomal RNA is filed under the name uncultured bacterium. RNAcentral describes it as "partial 16S ribosomal RNA". It matches the Rfam family "Bacterial small subunit ribosomal RNA", at positions 335 to 578 of the family's 1533-position model. The record is from RNAcentral.